This is a long non-coding RNA of Bos taurus (domestic cattle), 877 nucleotides long. NCBI's taxonomy places the organism in Eukaryota, Metazoa, Chordata, Mammalia, Artiodactyla, Bovidae. The record is from Ensembl.
GAACACCAGGAACUGGAUCUAAUCAUUUCUUGGGAUGACUCCAGUGGUGUGCUGGUAAAAGGUUAACGACCAGAUCCCUGGAGGGAAAAGUUUGUCCUGGUGCAAAUGUCCCCACUGUGGCCAACUUCCAGCUGCUAACAGAACUCUGAUAUGACAGGGACAAAGCCCACCCCGGCCAACCCGAGAAGGGAAAGGCCCACCGCGAAUUAGUCAGGGCUGUCGAGGCCACUGGCUUCUUGGAGGAGGAGUGUGUCCUGAGUCCGUUCACGCUGGACUUGACAUCGUGGCUCUCGAGACGCUGCUUGGGGCCGGGACAGUCCCGGCCUCAGUCACGGCGCUCCCGCUCUUCACGGCCGUGAAGUCCACUGUCAGCAGAGGAGGCCGCUCGUGUGUCGUCCCUGAGUGAGGGCCCAGGGGUUCCGUUUUCAUCUUCCAUAAUUACACAAGCAUGAGCUUCAUGCAAUUUUGAGCAACCGCUGCAGGAGAUUUACCUUGUCCAAACCUUGGCAGAAAUCAUAAAUAGUCUGCAGAGGCGAAGUCAGAUGAGAGAACAAUAAACAAACCUCAGAAAACAAUCUGACAGACGUGAGUCGGGUGCAGCCCUGGGCACAACACGCAGACCACAGAAGCGGGAGCGGCGGGCUCUCAGGCGGGACCGGGCACACCGGCAUCCGGGGGCUCGAGAGUCAGGUGGAGACACAGACGCCGCAGGCCGGCAGAAGACUAAGACGAAAUGACGAGCUCGGCUGUCUCUGAGAAACCAAAGAAAGCAGAUGUGGCAACAUGGCAAAAAGACAAAGCAGGAUUUGGGCUUCUGGGGGCGUGUAUCUUAUGUUGAAUACGUGUGACCAUAUAACUGGGAGGGAUUGGGGGCAGG